UCUGAGGGGAGGGGUUUGAUGGACACAUCGCAUUUAGGGCAGAAUGUUCUAAUGUCUCAUUCUCUGCAUAACAUCUGCUUUGGAUCUCUAUAUUUUCUCCCAUCUGCUGCAGGAGGAGGAAGCGUUCCUGAUGAUGGCUGAGCAAAGCACUCACUGUUCUACCAGAAAUAAGUCCAUGCAUUUACAAUCAGUGAAUUUUAAUGAAGAUACUGAAAACACACAAUGGAGAAAAACCCCAAGUGAUUAAAGUCCCCAGAAAGAAGGAGCCCUCCUCCUCUACCAUCUGACUCCAGCCUAUCAAGUCUCACUAGGACUGCCUGCAUCCUCCUCCUCUGUGGCCUAGGAAGAUUCCCCAACCCCUGGGAGAAAAUAAAAGAAUGAUUUCACCAUUCGAAGAGAGGAGGAAGGAGAAUGCCACGAUGGGUUAGGUGGAGAAGGAACCACAUGGCAGAGGAGUAAGGACUCCAAGAAUGGUGUGGAAAGGACCAGAUGAAGAAUAAAAGCAAGUAUUCAUAAGAUUAUGGAUGGAAGGUAGCCCAGAUAAAGAAGGUUAAGGUAGAUGGCAUUGGAUGGGGGCUGGGAGAUGAGUGGUGAGGUUAUUGGGACAGUAUAGAUGAAAUAUCUGCCCGGCCCAAGAUAAAAUAAGGCAAUUAUAAAAUCUAACAGGUGUCUGUGUCUCAUUAUUUGUGAGAGUGGGUUAGAUAAUACCACCGGGUAAUCUCAGGUAAUAAUAAAUAUUAUUACACAGCCCAGCACCCACUUUCAUUUACUGUAACACCUAAUGAACUGCUGUUAGUAUAGCGGUUAGCAUCAUGAGUGAGUUGAUGAUGUGAAUUUCCUUAAGGCAGUUGGAUUACAAUGUAGUGGAAGUGUUUAAACAUCUUCAGGUUAUCACUGGAAACCAAAUAGAUGAACCAGCAUAGUGAGAGGAAAUUAAUACCCACGACAAACAAUCUUGAGAAAAGCGGAUGGGAGAAAAAUCAUACAACCCAAGCACACCAUCCACAGUCCCUUCCCCCAAGAGAGCUGGACCAAGGACCAACAGCUGAGUGGUGGGAAUGCUAGAACAGAGAAAAGUAAACAUGAAGAGUACAAAGGCUAAAAAACCACAAAUGUCAGCCAAGGCAUCUGUUCCACGCUGGGCAGGACCCAGUUAUUAUACAGGUCUGAAGCAACAACAACAUAAAGUUGUCCACAGGUAAGCACCCAUCAAGA
Long non-coding RNA from Meriones unguiculatus (Mongolian gerbil), 1215 nucleotides. RefSeq lists it as uncharacterized. NCBI's taxonomy places the organism in Eukaryota, Metazoa, Chordata, Mammalia, Rodentia, Muridae. The record is from RefSeq and is a predicted model, not a curated record. The transcript is spliced from 3 exons.